GCCCGAUUAGCUCAGCUGGUUAGAGCGUCGUACUAAUACUGGGAUACCUGUAUGUGGUAAUGCGAAGGUCAACAGUUCAAUCCUGUUAUUGGGCA
Parachaetomium inaequale is the source of this 95-nucleotide non-coding RNA. NCBI's taxonomy places the organism in Eukaryota, Fungi, Ascomycota, Sordariomycetes, Sordariales, Chaetomiaceae. The record is from the annotation of a GenBank genome assembly.